Long non-coding RNA from Cannabis sativa, 1124 nucleotides. RefSeq lists it as uncharacterized. NCBI's taxonomy places the organism in Eukaryota, Viridiplantae, Streptophyta, Magnoliopsida, Rosales, Cannabaceae. The transcript has 3 exons. The record is from RefSeq and is a predicted model, not a curated record.
ACUAAACUAAAUAAAUUCUAUUCCAAAUGAAACUAGGACGAGACUAUAUGUCAUCAACCCAAAACCUAUUUAUAUUUCAUCUCUUCUCUGUCUUUUUUCAUUCCAAUAUAUAUAACAGAAUCAUAUACCCUCUAAUUUUUUUUGUUGGCCGUUACACCGCUUCUUUUCUUCUCCAGAUUUUCUCUCUGCUUAUUCUCUCUGUUGGAAGAUUGAAAUGAGAGUGUUAGAAAAAUCUGGAAAGCGGACAAGCAAGAGUUCACCACUCAAAUAUCAAAAGCUUAUGUUAGCAGAUAAAAAGGGUAAUGAUGUUGAAGCAGUAAUAUUUGGCACUGAAAUUGAUGCUAGAGAAAACACUUUGGAAGUGUUCCACACUUACUACAUCAGCAACGCUUAUGUAAAAAAAACAGCCCCACCUUUCGAUAAAAAGCGAGACUACAAAUAUUCUUGGACAUUGAACUCAAGAACAGAAAUCGAAGAAAUCCAAACAGAAGACAACCAGAUAUCAGCACCAAACUAUGAUUUCAUUCCGUUUAGCGACCUGCAUACACCUAAAGAAUUCAGCAAACCAAUAGGUAUUUACAAUUUGAUUUUUAUAUAUAUGUAUUCCUAUUGACUAACUAUUUAAUAUUUCAAUUUAUUAGAUAUUUUGACUAUUGCUCUCAAAAUGAACCCACCAAAAGAAGUCAACACUCCCUAUGGACUACAUACAAUUCAAGAGAUAUAUUUAAUUGAUGAAAGUUGUAGCUUCAAACCAGUAUGUUUGACGAUGUGGGGGCAUAAAGUUCACGAUGAAUGCUUACAAAUAGCAGAAGUAAUCGAAGAAAGACCCAUAAUAUUGGGAUCAAAACUAAUUGUUCAAACCAAGAGAGGUUUGCAUUAAUUAAACUACUGAUAUUUAAAAGCGAAAAUUCAAAAAUUCAAUUAACACAUACAUUUUGAUUUAGGGCUGUCUCUAUCGUCACGCGACACGAGUACCUUCAAAAUCAAUCCUCAACUCCCCGAAGCAGAAGCACUAAAGGAAUGGUAAUACUCAUAAAAUCAAAUACACAUACUAUUAUAGCUACACAUUUUACAAAAAAAUUUAAAUUUUUGUAUACUAUAUUUAUAAUAAUACUUACUCUAUU